GUAAUAUCUGUGUGGAGUAGAGUGUUCAGGCCACUUAAUUAGUCCCCUCGAAGCUGCCAAUUCACUGCCUUUAUCGAUGUUUGAGGGAUGAUGAUUCAUGCACACAUGCGAAGAUUAUAAUUAGGUCUCGUUUCCAUGGGUCUGUCUGUGCUUACUGUAACUCUUGGGGCUAGAGAGGAUGUCGGUGUAGACGCCGUGGAGGUCGCCGUAGUAGAGGUUGGCGGUGGGGUACUUGGCUCGCAAGAUAGCGGCGUGGAGAUCGAGUAUGUGGCGCUCACCUCAACAAGCUCAACCACGGCGUCUACAACGGAUCCCACGAUCGACAGCGUCUCCCGGGGACUGAGCACCGAGUCGUAGAGGCUGAAGAAGUAGUCUUGAUAGCCAGCAUAAACCACGUAUAAGGACGAAUUCAGUGUGGCCAGUGUGGGUAAGCUCUGCACUACAACUGCGCCGCGAUCAUAACAAAAAAAUAGGUCAGUUGGAUUCAUAAGUCGUGCGAUGAAUUUAGAGGGAAGAUUAAGUAAAAUAAUGCGAUUGAUUUUGUAAAAAGAUCAAAAUAUAUAAAUUGAUCGACGAUACUUACUGACAGGAUCUUGUCUUUCGUAGUAUGAGUAUCGAACUUU
This is a non-coding RNA of Physcomitrium patens, 623 nucleotides long. The record is from RefSeq and is a predicted model, not a curated record. Lineage: Eukaryota; Viridiplantae; Streptophyta; Bryopsida; Funariales; Funariaceae.